This 22-nucleotide non-coding RNA is filed under the name Arabidopsis thaliana (thale cress). Lineage: Eukaryota; Viridiplantae; Streptophyta; Magnoliopsida; Brassicales; Brassicaceae. The record is from RNAcentral.
UAUUAUUAUGUAGUAGUCUCGU